AAGGCUGUCCAUAAAACUGAUCUGCACAGGACUCUCCUGACAAGCUCACUGUGGGUAUAUUAAGAAAACCCUUGGCUUUGGGAGUAAGAUGGCAUAAUAGCAGCUUCCUCUGUGUGACUCCAUGACUGAGAAAAGUGAGGAUAACAAAGAGGAGACUACUCAAGAGAGAGAAGAAGAGCGCCAGGAAUCACAAACGAGGUGACAGGGCAGGAGUCGGUGACCUUUGAAGAUGUGGCUGUGAACUUCACCCUGAGGAGUGGGCUCUGCUGGAAACUUCCCAGAAGCUCUACAAAGAUGUGAUGCUGUAAACCUUCAGGAGCCUGACUGCUAUAGGGAUCUAAAUUUUAGGAAAAGCACAGGAAAAACAAAACACUGAAGAUGAGCACAGAAACUUCUGGACAAAUCUAAGGUAAUUUAAACUCAGAAUGGACAGCAAUAUUUAUUAUCUUGGUAUUAUGGGAUACUUAAAAAACAAGGAAAUAUUGGAAAUUCAUCUAGCUUCUGUUAGGUCCCUGGCACUCUUGGGGCAGGCAGAAGGUCCCAAG
Molecule: non-coding RNA, 545 nt
Organism: Castor canadensis (American beaver)
Lineage: Eukaryota; Metazoa; Chordata; Mammalia; Rodentia; Castoridae
Source: RefSeq, a predicted model, not a curated record